AUGCUAAACUUCAAGCCAACAUUGAUCUACUGCCAGAGCCUUCCAAGAAGCUGUCCAACUGGCGUAGGAAACACGAGGACUUCAUCGCCACCUCAGAGCUACCAAGGGCCUCACUCAGGUUAUGAAGGAGGAGGGGGGGGUUACCCCCUCCUCCACCCUCCUCCUAUGUACCAGGUAACACCACCCUUAUCUCCACCUCCACCCCCCCUCCUAUGACCCAGUGAUUGUGUUGUUCCAGAUUAAUUCCAGUGACUGUGUGAUUGUAUUGUUCCAGAUUCCAUCCGGUGACUGUGUGAUCAAAUAAAAUUGUAGUUGUCACAUGCGUUGUAAAAAACAGGUGUACAUUUACAGUGAAAUGCUUACUUACAGGCCAUUCUCAACACUGCAAAGAGAGAAAAAAGAAAUAAUAGAAAAAUAAUAUCACAAGGAAUAAAUACGCAAUGAGUAACGAUAACUUGGUUAUACACACGGGGUAACAGUACCGAGUAAAUGUGCUGGGGUACGAGGUAAUUGAGGUAGAUAUGUACAGUGCCUUCUGAAAGUAUUCAGACCCCUUGACUUAUUCCACAUUUUGUUACGUUACAGCCUUAUUCUAAAAUGUUUUUUUUUAUCCUCAGCAAUCUACACACAAUACCCCAUAAUGACAAAGUGAAAACAGGUUUGUAAAAUUUUUUGAAAAUGUAUGUCACGAACCUCGCUGAAGAGGGUGCCUCUUCCUGUUCAGGUGGGGCUCGGCGGUCGUCGUCACCGGCCUAUUAGCUGCCAUCAAUUCUUUUUCCGUUUGUGUUUGUUAUUGGUUAAUUGGGUACACCUGUUUUGUAUUAGGGUUUGUUUGUAGGGUAUUUAAGGGCACUAGGCCUGCUGGGUAUUUUGUGCGGGCUUGUUAAUUGUUACUCUGUGUUUGAUGGUGUAUUUGCUUUUCGUGUUCUUUAUUUAUCCGGUCUAUUUUGUCCUGUUGUUUUUGGACUGGCAACUUAUACGCCUUGUGUGUUGGCGUCAUCAUUUUGGUUGCACCGGUGAAUAAAUUUUGAUAAACGACAGAACCCUGCUCUCUGCGCCUGAUUCCACCCACCACUCAUAGUUAAUCGUAA
This 1091-nucleotide long non-coding RNA is filed under the name Oncorhynchus kisutch (coho salmon). Its description in RNAcentral is "lncRNA (ENSOKIG00005016982.1)". Lineage: Eukaryota; Metazoa; Chordata; Actinopteri; Salmoniformes; Salmonidae. The record is from RNAcentral.